Molecule: ribosomal RNA, 465 nt
Filed under: uncultured bacterium
Lineage: Bacteria
Description: partial 16S ribosomal RNA
Rfam family: Bacterial small subunit ribosomal RNA
Source: RNAcentral
GACGAACGCUGGCGGCGUGCUUAACACAUGCAAGUCGAACGGAAAGGCCCUGCUUGCAGGGUACUCGAGUGGCGAACGGGUGAGUAACACGUGGGUGAUCUGCCCUGCACUUCGGGAUAAGCCUGGGAAACUGGGUCUAAUACCGGAUAGGAGCCAUUUUUAGUGUGAUGGUUGGAAAGUUUUUUCGGUGUAGGAUGAGCUCGCGGCCUAUCAGCUUGUUGGUGGGGUAAUGGCCUACCAAGGCGGCGACGGGUAGCCGGCCUGAGAGGGUGGACGGCCACAUUGGGACUGAGAUACGGCCCAGACUCCUACGGGAGGCAGCAGUGGGGAAUAUUGCACAAUGGGCGCAAGCCUGAUGCAGCGACGCCGCGUGGGGGAUGACGGCCUUCGGGUUGUAAACUCCUUUCGCUAGGGACGAAGCUCUUUGUGACGGUACCUAGAUAAGAAGCACCGGCUAACUACGUG